RNAcentral lists this ribosomal RNA (320 nucleotides) under uncultured eukaryote. RNAcentral describes it as "partial 18S ribosomal RNA". It matches the Rfam family "Eukaryotic small subunit ribosomal RNA", at positions 1470 to 1796 of the family's 1831-position model. The record is from RNAcentral.
CCCCUAGAUGUUCUGGGCCGCACGCGCGCUACACUGAACAGUUCAACAAGUCUUAACCUUGGCCGAUAGGUCUGGGUAAUCUUUGAACGCUGCUCGUGAUUGGGAUGGACCUUUGCAAUUAUGGGUCUUCAACGAGGAAUUCCUAGUAAACGCAAGUCAUCAGCUUGCAUUGAUUACGUCCCUGCCCUUUGUACACACCGCCCGUCGCACCUACCGAUUGAAUGGUCCGGUGAAAUCUCGGGACGGCGGCUUGGUUGCUUGCGUCCGACUGCUGAAACUUGAUUAAACCAUAUCAUUUAGAGGAAGGUGAAGUCGUAACA